AACGAACGCUGGCGGCAUGCCUAACACAUGCAAGUCGAACGAGACCUUCGGGUCUAGUGGCGCACGGGUGCGUAACGCGUGGGAACCUGCCCUUAGGUUCGGAAUAACUCCCCGAAAGGGGUGCUAAUACCGGAUAAUGUCUUCGGACCAAAGAUUUAUCGCCUUUGGAUGGGCCCGCGUUGGAUUAGCUAGUUGGUAGGGUAAAAGCCUACCAAGGCGACGAUCCAUAGCUGGUCUGAGAGGAUGAUCCGCCACACUGGGACUGAGACACGGCCCAGACUCCUACGGGACGCAGCAGUGGGGAAUAUUGGACAAUGGGCGAAAGCCUGAUCCAGCAAUGCCGCGUGAGUGAUGAAGGCCUUAGGGUUGUAAAGCUCUUUUACACGGGAUGAUAAUGACAGUAACGGGAGAAUAAGCACCGGCUAACUCCGUG
Molecule: ribosomal RNA, 433 nt
Filed under: uncultured bacterium
Lineage: Bacteria
Description: partial 16S ribosomal RNA
Rfam family: Bacterial small subunit ribosomal RNA
Source: RNAcentral